GAUGAACGCUGGCGGCGUGCCUAAUACAUGCAAGUCGAGCGAACAGACGAGGAGCUUGCUCUUCUGACGUUAGCGGCGGACGGGUGAGUAACACGUGGAUAACCUACCUGUAAGCCUGGGAUAACUACGGGAAACCGGAGCUAAUACCGGAUAAUAUAUUGAACCGCAUGGUUCAAUAGUGAAAGACGGUUUUGCUGUCACAUCUAGAUGGAUUCGUGUCGCAUUAGCUAGUUGUUAAGUUAACGGCUUACCAAGGCAACGAUGCGUAGCCGACCUGAGAGGGUGAUCGGCCACACUGGAACUGAGACACGGUCCAGACUCCUACGGGAGGCAGCAGAAGGGAAUCUUCGGCAAUGGGGGAAAUCUUGACGGAGCAACGCGGCGUGAGUGAUGAAGGUCUCCGGAUCUAAAAACUCUGUUAUAGGGGAAGAACAAAUUUGGAAGUAAAAGUGCACGUCGUGACGGUACCUAAUCAGAAAGCCACGGCUAACUACGUG
Molecule: ribosomal RNA, 497 nt
Filed under: uncultured bacterium
Lineage: Bacteria
Description: partial 16S ribosomal RNA
Rfam family: Bacterial small subunit ribosomal RNA
Source: RNAcentral